GUCAUUUCACAGUUGGUUCCAUUUCUAUUAACAGCCUCCCUUUCUUGUUGCUUGGUCUUGUUUAUCCAGGUUUUCUUGUGCUAUGACUGUUACCUACCUCACUGACCUAUUCUUUUUAGCUUUUGGGCAGAAAGGCUUCUAUUUUUUUGCCUUCAAUAUUAGACCGUUUUCUGGAAGUGAGAAAAGAAAGCAGAGACCUGUAUUUUCAGGGGAAAGAAGGAAGUCAAGCAGUGUUCCUUUUGAAUGGAUGUGGGAUAAAGAAACGUAUGGGGGUCAGCCAGCCACCACCUCUGCUUGAUCCUGAGAAGAGUGGUUUUGUUUUCAUGGGCCAACAAGUCAUCUAGAUCCGCGAUGGAACGUGUGUGAUAUGGUAAUAGUUACAGUACUGUAACACUGUAAUAGUUGCCUGUAGUGCUGCUAAGUCUAGUCUAAAGAAAUAGCCUUGGCUGCUCCUCUAAGACAGUCGUUUCCAGGUACAUAUUCAGGUUGUUUACUUGACUCCCUCCAGUGAAAGGUAUUUGGCCCAAGAAUAGGCCUCCUUGAGGAUCGUGGCCUCUUGAUCAAUAAAAUGAGGAAGAGGAUGAGAUGGAGUGGCCGG
Molecule: long non-coding RNA, 598 nt
Filed under: Struthio camelus australis
Lineage: Eukaryota; Metazoa; Chordata; Aves; Struthioniformes; Struthionidae
Description: lncRNA (ENSSCUG00000006064.1)
Source: RNAcentral